RNAcentral lists this unclassified non-coding RNA (382 nucleotides) under uncultured bacterium. RNAcentral's name for it is "contains 16S-23S intergenic spacer region". The record is from RNAcentral.
UCCGGCUUAUCACCGGCAGUCUCCCUAGAGUUCCCAGCAUAACCUGAUGGCAACUAAGGACAAGGGUUGCGCUCGUUGCAGGACUUAACCUAACAUCUCACGACACGAGCUGACGACAGCCAUGCAGCACCUGUGCAUGCUGGUAUUGCUACCUCGUCCCCCUUUCAUGGUUCUACCACAUGCAUGUCAAGGCCAGGUAAGGUUCUUCGCGUUGCAUCGAAUUAAGCCACAUACUCCACCGCUUGUGCAGGCCCCCGUCAAUUUCUUUGAGUUUCAACCUUGCGGUCGUACUCCCCAGGCGGGGUACUUCCUGCGUUAGCGCCGGCACCCAGAGGGUCGCUCCCCCAGGCACCUAGUACCCAUCGUUUACGGCGUGGACUAC